GCAGUCAUUUAGCCAGGUCUGGAUUUAUGAUAGUGAUCUCUAAUUAGAAGAAACUGGGCUUAGUAAGAUAGGAACUUUCUCAUUUUACCCUAUUUUGAGAGACAGGAAUCAACACAACACAGAAUCUCACUUCAAAGCGCUGACAGACAUGACCACCACAGACUUCAGUUCACAUCAACUGUAACCCCUUCCAUUUUGUAUCCCAAAUUCUGAAUAAACACUUAUUAAGCACUACUUUAAAAAAUUAGUACUGCCCCUUUAUGUGUGCCUCUCUUGCAGAGAGCGCUUGCAAGGCUGCAAAGCAGAAAAACUUAUGUGUAAGCAGCUGGGAGAAAACAUAUAGAAUUUGAAUUACUGUGGAAGCAUGCUGAAGUUGAAGAGUUGCUUUCCUUGAUUGUUUACUGAGACAUUCUGAGUCAGGUUUGUGCCUCUGGCAAAUUUUCCAGCACUUGUGGGCAAACGAUAGACCUUUCUUAACGUAGAGUAGCAACGGAGCAAUUGGAGGAGAUGGAUGAGCUCCGCAUUGGUGAAUGCAGAGAAGUGGACACUGUUAUCUCAGAGCUUGACCUUUUUUGUUAUCAUCUGCUUUACCCGAUUGUACGGGGGCUACGAUGUGUGUUUG
Long non-coding RNA from Tachysurus fulvidraco (yellow catfish), 622 nucleotides. RefSeq lists it as uncharacterized. The record is from RefSeq and is a predicted model, not a curated record. Lineage: Eukaryota; Metazoa; Chordata; Actinopteri; Siluriformes; Bagridae. The transcript has 3 exons.